RNAcentral lists this ribosomal RNA (483 nucleotides) under uncultured bacterium. Its description in RNAcentral is "partial 16S ribosomal RNA". It matches the Rfam family "Bacterial small subunit ribosomal RNA", at positions 32 to 523 of the family's 1533-position model. The record is from RNAcentral.
AAUCAACGCUGGCGGCGUGCCUCAGACAUGCAAGUCGAACGAUUAAAGCUCUCUUCGGAGAGUGCAUAAAGUGGAGCACGGGUGAGUAACACGUACGUAAUCUACCUUCGAGUGGGGAAUAACGUCCGGAAACGGACGCUAAUACCGCAUAAUGCAGCUGCACCUAAUGGUGACAGUUGUUAAAGAAUUUAUUCGCUUGAAGAGGAGCUUGCGGCAGAUUAGCUAGUUGGUAAGGUAAUGGCUUACCAAGGCUUCGAUCUGUAACCGGUCUAAGAGGACGGUCGGUCACACUGACACUGAAUAACGGGUCAGACUCCUACGGGAGGCAGCAGUCGGGAAUUUUGGGCAAUGGGCGAAAGCCUGACCCAGCAACGCCGCGUGAAGGAUGAAGUAUUUCGGUAUGUAAACUUCGAAAGAAUGGGAAGAAACAAUGACGGUACCAUUUAUAAGGUCCGGCUAACUACGUGCCAGCCGCCGCCGUAA